This is a long non-coding RNA of Heterocephalus glaber (naked mole-rat), 761 nucleotides long. Lineage: Eukaryota; Metazoa; Chordata; Mammalia; Rodentia; Bathyergidae. The record is from Ensembl.
ACACUGAGUGCUUUCCAAAUGUCGCCUCAUUUUUAUUCUCACAGUGACCUUACGUCAGGCCCAUUUUCAGAUGAGGAAACUGAAACUUACAGAGGCUGAGUAAUAUGCCCAGGAUCUCACAGAAAAAUGAGUCUGAGUACCUAUCGGGCCAGGAAAGGAUGUGGGGAAACCUCAGAUGCAUACUACUAGGUGAAAAGAAGCCAAUCUGAAAAAGCUACAUGGCAUAGAAGUCCAACUACAAGACACGCUAGAAGACGCAAAACAUGGAGACGGUAAAAGGGGUGGAUGGCAAUUUCUUUCCUCUUCCAGCCAUGAUGUAGUGAAGUUACCAUGGAGAUGUAUUAAAUUCCUAGGUGAGUCCAACUUAACAGGCACCUGAGAAAAAGGAGAAGGACAAAUCUCUCUGACAAGGAUAAGGACCUGAGCCUGGAGGUGAUCUAGCUUGUCUGCUGGCCCUCAGUUAACCAAUGUCACACCUGGAUUAAAGUUUCUGGCUUCCUCACUCCUGGCGUCCACUGGUCUUUAUAUUGUUUUUUAUUUUUAAUUUUUAAAAUAUUUUAUUGUUUUGUUUCAUUUUAUUUUUUUAGAACUCGGACCUGUAGCCAGGUCGGGUGGCACCUGCUUGUAAUUCCAGCACUCUGGGAAACUGAAGCAGGAAGAUCUCAAAUUUGAGCACAGACUAGGAAAUUUAGCAAGUUAGCAAGACUGUCUCAAAAUAAAACAUUAAGAAAAGGCCCAGGGCUGUAGUUCAGUGGAAAGAC